Small nucleolar RNA from Cavia aperea (Brazilian guinea pig), 116 nucleotides. The record is from Ensembl. Lineage: Eukaryota; Metazoa; Chordata; Mammalia; Rodentia; Caviidae.
CUGGCCUUCCUGACGCUAUUGGUUUCAAGCAGGAGCCUAAAAAGAUGUCUUUCUAUGGUCUGUUGGCCAUUUAGAACUUGGGCAGUGAAUGGUCAAUUCAUUAGAAACAGCUUGAA